CUAUCAGAAUGAAUCUUUAACACCUUUUUAAUGUUCAAAAUAUGACUUUUGCUCUUGAGGGUUUGCCAAAUUGUUGGUUAGUAGUUUAAUUUCUUGUGGAAAAAUGGCUAAAGGGUUAACUUUGAAUGAAACAGUCUCAAGACCAUUUUAUCAAUAUGUUAUACUAAAAAAGGCUCUAAAGGAUUGAAUUUCAUCCAGAUGUUUAGCAUAAGUAAUAGCCACCAUUUGAGUGCAAACUGCAACCAACAAGCUAUGGGUAGAGAGGGGUUAACUGCAAAAACACUGGAAAUCCUAGUGUGAUAUGUGUAGGGGGGAGUAUCUGCAGUAUAGUAACUAGGAGGUGCAGACUGCAAAGAUGUUGCCUGGUAUAUUCUGCAGUAAAACUACAAGAACAAUGGAAAGCCUAGUGUUAUGGUAUGUGCAGGCGGGAGUAUCUGCAGUAUAGUAACUAGGAGGUACAAACUGCAAGAUGUUGCUUGGUAGAUUCUGCAGGAACUGGCUUAAUAACCCACAAGCUAUGGGUAGAGGGGUUAACUACCAAAACACUGGAAAUCCUAGUGUUAU
Pelobates cultripes (western spadefoot toad) is the source of this 564-nucleotide non-coding RNA. The record is from the annotation of a GenBank genome assembly. NCBI's taxonomy places the organism in Eukaryota, Metazoa, Chordata, Amphibia, Anura, Pelobatidae.